CCUACGGGUGGCUGCAGUGAGGAAUAUUGGUCAAUGGGCGGAAGCCUGAACCAGCCAUGCCGCGUGCAGGAAUAGAUCCCUAUGGGACAUAAACUGCUUUUGAUACUGAGCAAGAGCAUAUACGUGUAUAUGAGUGAGAGUAAGUAUCGAAUAAGCAUCGGCUAACUCCGUGCCAGCAGCCGCGGUAAUACGGGGGAUGCAAGCGUUAUCCGGAAUUAUUGGGUUUAAAGGGUGCGUAGGCUGUGCGGUGCGUCUGUGGUUAAAGGCCUCUGCUUAACGGAGCGUAUGCCAUAGAAACGGCCGUGCUUGAGAGUGAUUGCCGUGGGAGGAAUGUGUGGUGUAGCGGUGAAAUGCAUAGAUAUCACACAGAACACCGAUUGCGAAGGCAUCUCACGAAGUCAUAUCUGACGCUGAAGCACGAAAGCGUGGGAAUCAAACAGGAUUAGAUACCCCAGUAGUC
This 460-nucleotide ribosomal RNA is filed under the name uncultured Bacteroidales bacterium. RNAcentral describes it as "bacterial SSU rRNA". It matches the Rfam family "Bacterial small subunit ribosomal RNA", at positions 338 to 795 of the family's 1533-position model. Lineage: Bacteria; Pseudomonadati; Bacteroidota; Bacteroidia; Bacteroidales. The record is from RNAcentral.